AUUUGUUUUCUUUUUUUCUUGUUGAUACUUUGGUUUCUCCACAAUCUGUGUGCUUGGUGCUGGCUUAUAGAUUUUAUAUGUGGUGAUUCUGGUGAAUAUAUUUAGCUAAGAUGCUGAAUCAUUUAGGUGCAGGAACAGAUUAUCUAUAUGUUGUUAAAUUUUAGCAUCAUAAUUUGAUGAACCAUAUAAAAAUAGACGGUGGAUUGUCUAUGAGGAACUACUUAUCUUGCAUAUUUGAUGCUGCUGGUCAAUGUAAUGAGAUUAGAAUUUACAACGGAACUCAGAAAUGCAUUUGUAACUGGAUAAUAAAUUGAGAAGGGAUCAAAAUAAAGUGCAUAAAUAUGCAAGGCAAAAAGUUCAGGGGAGACUAUUUGAAGCCUUUUCUGCUCCAUCUAGUCUUCUUGUGUAAGAAUCGGCUUUUUCCUGUACUACGCUUCAAAUGCAUUGUCAUUGCAGAGUUCUGUUCCUAUUUUCUUGAAAAAUUGGUGUUCGAAGGCCUUUAGGAGAUAGUUGGCUUAACAGUCCUCUUGAUGUUUCUCGACCUCUCAGAUGGAGCCCCUUUCGCUUCCCUGGUCGUGCUAUUAAGUUUACUACUCGGUGUAGCGAUGUUCUUGUAUGUCAUAUUUACUGUGAAGUAGAAAGUCAAGCUAGUGAGACUUAUGGCUCUUAGAUAUACCUUUGUUGGGAUUUUCUUUCUUUUCAUAGUUAUGUUACUAAACCCAUGUAAUCCGACUUAAUGGUUUAGAUUUAACAGCAUACCUCUAAAAUCUGAUUUAAAGGACGAUUGCACCCCGAUUUUCGUCCAUUCAAUGUCUCCACUAAAAAAAUGCACCGUGAAAUUCCUUUUGCAUCUGCCUAGUUGGUUUAUCCAUAAACAAGUGGUACUAGGUUAGGGCUGAGGCUCAUGGAUUUCUCUUGUAAAGCACUUUUGACCGAGGACUCAAAUGACUGAACCAUCAUGUAUGUCUUUUGGGCAACAUUAAUAUCGGAAAUAUUUUUGGUAAUUUCCUACAUCGAGCAUCCCCUUUGUUUCCCGCCUUUUCUCUGAGGCUAUCGAAUUACAUUUGGUUCUUUAGGUCACGCAUCUUUCAUUACAAUGUUUGAACCUUGAUUGAUCUUUUCUUAGCAAUCACGCGUGGAUAAUUAAUUCUUUCAUACCAGCAUUCGACACUCCUAUGCAUUUCAGUGGAAGGUGGUUGUUUUAUACUUUCCCUUUAGUGAGAUCAAAUUAUUUAGGCUGUUUGUUUCCACUUUCUCUUAGCAAAUAGUUACUUAUCAACUUUCCUGCCGAUAGGAAAAUUUUUUUGGUAGAUUUGAAAAUUUGACACAAACUUUGAUGAUCACAAGUAACUCUAUAGAUUGAUUUUAAUAUAUGUUUUUAAGGAUAGGUAGUGCUGUCUGAAAUACAUGUGAAAUCUCAAAUGCUAGAAAGCAAAAAGUGUUAAAGUAAAUGUUACUAUUCAGGCCAAGAUUGAGAAGAGAAGGGAAGAGAGAGCCCGUUCAAAGGCUUGGGAAGAGGAGUCAAAGGUAUGUUUGGUGCAGUCACCAGAGCAGCAACAUUUUUUUUUUUUUUUUCUUCUUUUUGAAUUGGUGAUGGGCGUGAAACUCUACAAGUUUUAGUGUUACAGAGAGAUGAUUUCUAUAUUUCUGCUUUCUGCAGGCAAUGCUAGCCAGAGCGUGUGGUCGAGCAGAUCUCGACAUAUUCUCUAUCACAAUGAAAAAGAUGCCGAAAGAAAGAAUGGUAUCUUGUAAUUUGGAUUUUUUUCUUUUCGUUGAUACUUUGGUUUCUGCACAAUUUGUGUGCUUCAUGUUGGCUUCUAGAUUUUAUGUGUGGUGAUUCUGGUGAAUUUAUUUUGCUAAGAUGCCGAAUCAUUUGGGUGCAGGAACAGAUUAUCUAUAUGUCGUUCAACUUUAGCAUCAUAAUUUGAUGGACCAUAAUAAAAAUAGAUGGUGGAUUGUCUAUGAGGAACUUCUUAUCUUGCAUAUUUGAUGCUGCUGGUUAAUGUAAUGAGAUUAGAAUUUACAACGUAACUCAAAAAUGCAUUUGCGGCUGGAUAAUAACUUGAGGAGGGACCAAAGUAAAGUGGAUAAAUAUGCAAGGCAAAAAGUUAAAGGAGACUCCUUUCUUGCUUCAUCUAGUCUUGUGUAAGAAUCGGUUUUUUCCUGUACUAUGCUUCAAAUGCAUUGUCAUUGCAGAGUUCUGUUUCUAUUUUCUUGAAAAAUUGGUGUCGAAGGCCUUUAGGAGAUAGUUGGCUUAACAGUCCUCUUGAUGUUUCUCGACCUCUCAGAUGGAGCCACUUUUGCUUCUCUGGUUAUGCUAUUAGAUUUACUACUUGAGUGCUCGGUGUAGUGAUGUUCUUGUAUGUCGUAUUUACUAUGAAUUAGAAACUUAAGCUAGUGAGACUUAUGGCUUUUAGUUAUACCUUUGUUGGGAUUUUUUUUCUUUUCAUAGUCAUGCUGCUAAACCCAUGUAAUCCAACUUAAUUAUUUAGAUUUAACAGCAUACCUCUAAAAUCUGAUUUGAAGGACAAUUGCAUCCUGGUUUUUGUCCGUUCAAUGUCUCCACUUAAAAAAUGCACCGUGAAACUCCUUUUGCAUCUGCCUAGUUGGUUUAUCCAUAAACAAGUGGUAGGUUAGGGCUGAGGCUCAUGGAUUUCUUACGUAUGUCUUUGAGGCAACAUUAAUAUCGGAAAGAUAUUGGGUCCUUUCCUACAUCGAACAUCCCCUUUGUUUCACGCCUUUUCUCUGAGGCUAUUGAAUUGCAUUUGGUUCUUUAGGUCAUGCAUCUUUCAUUACAAUGUUUGAACCUUGAUCAAUCUUUUCUUAGCAAUCAGCAUCGAUAAUUUAUUCUUUCAUAACGGCAUUCAACAUUCCUAUGCAUUUCAGUGGAAGGUGGUUGUUUUCUAGUUUUCUUCUUUAUACUUUCCCCUUAGUGAGAUCAAAUUAUUUAGGCUGUUUGUUUCCACUUUCUUUAAGCAAAAAGUUGUUUAUCAACUUUCCUGCCGAUAGGAAAGAAAUUUUGGUUAGAUUUGAAAAUUUGACACAAACUUUGAUGGUCGCAAGUGACUCUAU
Molecule: long non-coding RNA, 3072 nt
Filed under: Eucalyptus grandis
Lineage: Eukaryota; Viridiplantae; Streptophyta; Magnoliopsida; Myrtales; Myrtaceae
Description: long non-coding RNA (EGRA_LNC003343)
Source: RNAcentral